This 474-nucleotide ribosomal RNA is filed under the name uncultured bacterium. Its description in RNAcentral is "bacterial SSU rRNA". It matches the Rfam family "Bacterial small subunit ribosomal RNA", at positions 24 to 518 of the family's 1533-position model. The record is from RNAcentral.
UCAGGAUGAACGCUGGCGGCGUGCCUAACACAUCAAGUCGAACGAACUGUAGAAAUACAGUGAGUAGCGGACGGGUGAGUAACGCGUAAGCAAUCUGCCUUUGUGUGUGGAAUAACAACCGGAAACAGUUGCUAAUACCGCAUAAUGCAGAGAGAUCGCAUGGUCUUUCUGCCAAAGAUUUAUCGCACGAAGAUGAGCUUGCGUCCGAUUAGAUAGUUGGCGGGGUAACGGCCCACCAAGUCGACGAUCGGUAGCCGGACUGAGAGGUUGAACGGCCACAUUGGAACUGAGAUACGGUCCAGACUCCUACGGGAGGCAGCAGUGGGGAAUAUUGGGCAAUGGACGAAAGUCUGAACCCCCAGCGACGCCGCGUGAGGGAAGAAGGUCUUCGGAUUGUAAACCUUAGUCAACAGGGACGAAGCAAGUGACGGUACCUGUGGAGGAAGCCACGGCUAACUACGUGCCAGCCGCUGC